GACGAACGCUGGCGGCGUGCUUAACACAUGCAAGUCGAACGGAAAGGCCUGCUUUCCCUUGUGGAUUGCGGGUACUCGAGUGGCGAACGGGUGAGUAACACGUGAGUGAUCUGCCCCCAACUUGGGUAUAAGCCUGGGAAACUGGGUCUAAUUCCCGAUAGGACUGCAGGGUGGUGCCUGUGGUGGAAAACGAUUUUCUAGUGGUUGGGGAUGAGCUCGCGGCCUAUCAGCUUGUUGGUGGGGUAAUGGCCUACCAAGGCGGCGACGGGUAGCCGGCCUGAGGGGGUGGACGGGCACAUUGGGAAUGAGAGACGGCCCAGAAUCCGACGGGAGGCAGCAGUGGGGAAUAGUGGAAAAUGGGCGGAAGCCUGAUGCAGCGACGCCGCGUGGGGGAUGACGGCCUUCGGGUUGUAAACUCCUUUCGACCGCGAGGAAGCCACCUGGUUGGAAGGGUGGUGACGGUAGUGGUAGAAGAAGCACCGGCUAACUACGUG
Molecule: ribosomal RNA, 494 nt
Filed under: uncultured bacterium
Lineage: Bacteria
Description: partial 16S ribosomal RNA
Rfam family: Bacterial small subunit ribosomal RNA
Source: RNAcentral